UGGAUGUCGGAUAGUGGCGGACGGGUGAGUAACACGUGGGAACGUGCCUUUAGGUUCGGAAUAACUCAGGGAAACUUGUGCUAAUACCGAAUGUGCCCUUCGGGGGAAAGAUUUAUCGCCUUUAGAGCGGCCCGCGUCUGAUUAGCUAGUUGGUGAGGUAAAGGCUCACCAAGGCGACGAUCAGUAGCUGGUCUGAGAGGAUGAUCAGCCACAUUGGGACUGAGACACGGCCCAAACUCCUACGGGAGGCAGCAGUGGGGAAUCUUGCGCAAUGGGCGAAAGCCUGACGCAGCCAUGCCGCGUGAAUGAUGAAGGUCUUAGGAUUGUAAAAUUCUUUCACCGGGGACGAUAAUGACGGUACCCGGAGAAGAAGCCCCGGCUAACUUCGUGCCAGCAGCCGCGGUAAUACGAAGGGGGCUAGCGUUGCUCGGAAUUACUGGGCGUAAAGGGAGCGUAGGCGGACAUUUAAGUCAGGGGUGAAAUCCCGGGGCUCAACCUCGGAAUUGCCUUUGAUACUGGGUGUCUUGAGUAUGAGAGAGGUGUGUGGAACUCCGAGUGUAGAGGUGAAAUUCGUAGAUAUUCGGAAGAACACCAGUGGCGAAGGCGACACACUGGCUCAUUACUGACGCUGAGGCUCGAAAGCGUGGGG
Molecule: ribosomal RNA, 649 nt
Filed under: uncultured bacterium
Lineage: Bacteria
Description: bacterial SSU rRNA
Rfam family: Bacterial small subunit ribosomal RNA
Source: RNAcentral